GAGUUUGAUCCUGGCUCAGAACGAACGCUGGCGGCAGGCCUAACACAUGCAAGUUGAACGAUGUAGCAAUACAGAGUAGCGCACGGGUGCGUAACGCGUGGGAAUAUGCCCUUCACUACGGAACAACGUUUGGAAACGAACGCUAAUACCGUAUAAUGACUUCGGUCCAAAGAUUUAUCGGUGAAGGAUUAGCCCGCGUCUGAUUAGCUAGUUGGUGAGGUAAUGGCUCACCAAGGCGACGAUCAGUAGCUGGUCUGAGAGGAUGAUCAGCCACACUGGGACUGAGACACGGCCCAGACUCCUACGGGAGGCAGCAGUGAGGAUAUUGGACAAUGGGGGCAACCCUGAUCCAGCCAUGCCGCGUGAGUGAUGAAGGCCUUCGGUUCGUAAGCGUACUUCUAGAUGUGAAGAUGAUGACGGUA
Molecule: ribosomal RNA, 422 nt
Filed under: uncultured Alphaproteobacteria bacterium
Lineage: Bacteria; Pseudomonadati; Pseudomonadota; Alphaproteobacteria
Description: bacterial SSU rRNA
Rfam family: Bacterial small subunit ribosomal RNA
Source: RNAcentral